RNAcentral lists this ribosomal RNA (448 nucleotides) under uncultured bacterium. RNAcentral's name for it is "bacterial SSU rRNA". It matches the Rfam family "Bacterial small subunit ribosomal RNA", at positions 355 to 825 of the family's 1533-position model. The record is from RNAcentral.
UGGGGAAUAUUGGACAAUGGGGGCAACCCUGAUCCAGCCAUGCCGCGUGAAUGAUGAAGGCCUUCGGGUUGUAAAGUUCUUUUGGCGGGGACGAUGAUGACUGUACCCGCAGAAUAAGCUCCGGCUAACUUCGUGCCAGCAGCCGCGGUAAUACGAAGGGAGCAAGCGUUGUUCGGAAUUACUGGGCGUAAAGGGCGCGUAGGCGGUUUAACAAGUCAGGCGUGAAAGCCCCGGGCUCAACCCGGGAAUAGCGUUUGAGACUGUUUUUCUAAGAGUUCGGAAGAGGUAAGUGGAAUUCCCAAUGUAGCAGUGAAAUGCGUAGAUAUUGGGAAGAACACCAGUGGUGAAGACGGGUUGCUGGGCUGACACUGACGCUGAGGCGCGAAAGCCAGGGGAGCAAACGGGAUUAGAUACCCCCGUAGUCCCUGAGCGGGCUGGCAAGGCGCAU